Molecule: long non-coding RNA, 340 nt
Filed under: Mytilus galloprovincialis (Mediterranean mussel)
Lineage: Eukaryota; Metazoa; Mollusca; Bivalvia; Mytilida; Mytilidae
Source: RNAcentral
AACCAUUUGUUUAAAUUUCAAAGAUUUCUAUUUACUUAUACUAAAGUUAUGGUGCGAAAACCAAGAAUAAUGCUUACUUGGGACCCUUUUUGGCCCCUAAUUCCUAAACUGUUCAGACCUCAACUCCAAAAAUCAAUCCCAACCUUCCUUUUGUGGUCAUAAACCUUGUAUUUAAAUUUCAUUGAUUUCUAUUUACUUACACUAAAGUUAUUGUGCGAAAACCAAGAAUAAUGCUUAUUUGGGCCCUUUUUUGGCCCUUAAUUCCUUAACUGUUUGAACUAAAACUCCCAAAAUCAAUCCCAACCUUCCUUUUGUGGUCAUAAACCUUGUGUCAAAAUUU